Long non-coding RNA from Equus asinus (donkey), 5877 nucleotides. Lineage: Eukaryota; Metazoa; Chordata; Mammalia; Perissodactyla; Equidae. The record is from Ensembl.
GGCAGCUGGGGCUUCUCCUCGGCUUCUCCGCAGAAGGAGGACCGGAGGGCGUGGGCUAUAGGGCCAGGUGCGCCAGGUGACUGGGGAGCGAGCGGGUGGCUGCUGCCUCAGGAACUGCAAGAUGUGAAAGUGGGAGGAGAUGUGAGUCCACGAGGAUUGUCAAUGCUCUAACUGCCCCGUCAGGAUGGGUUUUACCAGAUAAUCUGAAGCUCUCCUCUUCGUGGGCAAAUAUGACGGAAAGAAGUGAAAGGAUUGGGAAAUGGUUCCAGACCAUAUACAGUCGGCUUCUCGACCUUGUAGUAAAAAUUACAGAUUUCACUGGAGUUCGAUGAAGUUUAGAAAGACCAAAGAAACUGGACUACUCAAGGAUUUUAAGACCCAGGAAAUAGUGGGCAACCAAAAUGCUAUAUUGGAAACAUAAGUCUUACAUCAAAGCAAAUUCAAAUGUGUGUUAACCAGAGCCAGGCCAUCGUAUCGUUUUAUUCCUCCACCAAUUGCUUCAGGUCAAGGCACUGGUCCAAAGAGCUGGCUUGAUUCUGGGUAAUACUAAUCUGUCCUUGUUCUGAAAAUCCAGUACCGGUGGACUCUACCACGAGAGUGGGGUGACCUAGAAUUUAGAAGUUUGGUAACCCCUCCCCAAAUUUGUUGCGUUUCUGAUAUCGACCCUGAUAUCAGUUUCCCCACACUAAACCCAGCAUAUAUGGGGUUAAAACCAAAACACUCAUUCCCAGCUUACUCUCUGGCUUCCUAGCUCCAGAAUCCACUAUGCUCCAUGGAGACAGACACUGUCAAGGACAAGCACCUGGACCAUCUCCUCCCCACAAAGAGAUACAGCUGGUGGGAAAGCUGCUGACCAGCAAGGUCAUGAGCGCCCUCCUCUCUGCAAGUGUCUCAAGGCCAAAGACAGGCUGGUGGGAAAGCUCCGACCAGCAAGGCCCUAUGCUCCCCCUCCCCUACCGAAAACCCCAAAUAAAAACCCUUCCUUUUAGCUUUUUCGGGGAGUUUGGGAUUUCAGUGUUAGCUGCCCUCUCUCCUUGCUCAGCGCUGUGCAAAAAGAAAGUUCCUACUUUCUUCCACCACCCCUGGUGUCAGAGAUUGGCUUGCUGCGCGACGGGUGAGCGAAUUCACUUCAGGUUCGGUAACAAUUUGGCGACCCAGAUGGGACAAUGUCCCUUGGCACACCGGCCUCUGGUGAAAGGCCUCUCUUGGAAGCUGUCCUGCAGCUGCCUGAGCCCCUUGUCUCAGGGACAGCCCCAAGUGGCUGGCUGCUAGCCAGACGUCGUUGGCCCAUGGCGCUUUUGCUUUGGUAGUGGAAGAAACUAGGUUUAGGACAUAGGAAGACGUCUCUUGUAAGUAGCUGGUAGUUUUUGUUCUUGUCUUUGUGUUAACCUUUUCCAACAGGACCGGCCGGGAACAAUGGGUACCUUGGCAGCCCUCUGGGCUCCGUUUGUUUUGAAGUCGCCGCAACGCCCUGGCCAAAUUUUGGUAAGUCCCCCGGGUGUGCACAACCGAGGUCCCUUGUCCUUGUUCAUUUGGGAAGAUCUGCGUAGCGGAUCUUCAUUUGUUGGGCGCCCCCGAGUGUAGGACACGGACUAAGGUGGGGCUGGAAGCACUUUGGUUUUUGGUUUUGGUCUUUGUUUUGGCUUGCGUUUGUGGCCGAGGGUUUUUGGGAACGCGCGCUUGUUUGGUAUUUGUUGUUGCUGUCUGUUUGUCUGUCCUUUUAAAAGUGUUAACAUGGGAGAUGCUGCAUUUAUUACACCUAAGAGCCCCUUGGGAAAAACUUUGGCUGAUGGUCGACCUAUAGCUAUAAGCCAAUGUCUAAAGAGGGAUGAUUUUCUUUUGUAACACCACAUGGCCACAAUAUUCUUUAGACUCUGGAGAGAAAAAAAUGGCCAAAAGAUGGAUCCUCAAGUUGGGAAACUUUUUAGAGAGCUCUUAUGAUCAACAACAGUUUUGUUGGUACCUAUGAAAAGACCAAAUUAAGGGGAAACUAUAAUGACUAGUCUUAAGAACUUAAUCAAACUUGGGAUCUCAGCUUCUUGUAGUCUUACAGAUGCUAAUAAAAAUGUUAAGUUAACAAAGAGAGAUUAGAAAGGGAAGAGUCACAGGACUCAUCUCAAUGGGAUAAAUGGAACAGAUAUGAAUGAAGUUAAAACAAAGGUUUUAAUAAAACACUGCCUAAGGUUGGAUGGGCUAAAGGGACCCCCCUAGUGGCUCCCCAACAUUAAAGGACAUCAGACAAACCUGUUCUAUUUACUCCAGUUUGAAAAAUGUAAAAGGUCAGGAUGCAAAAAUCAGAGUGAGAAACCUGACCAACAAUUGUUUGGGGCAACAGUUAGGCUACUAAGAUUAAUAAGACUAUAAAAAUUAAAAUGUUUGAGCUAAUAUUAUAUGAAGAGGUUAUGUCAACUUUGCCUGGAUGUUUUCUUUGGGAAUAAAUGUUAUGUCUAACUGGGAAUGCUUCACCUGAACAAUAUUGUAAUACCCAAACUUGUUAAUAGAAUCCUAAUGUAAGUUAUAAUUAAAAAUAUAAGGGCUAGUAAAACUAAGAUAAAGUUUUGUAAAAAAUUGAUAUACUUAAACAGGCCAAUUGCAGUUCACCCAAACUAAUGUAUGCAAUUGGAAAAGCCAGCUGCAACAAUGGGGAGCCUGUUUUAGUCUUUUGAGGCUUCUAAAUAAAAUUAGAAAUACUUUACCGCCUCUUUAAGAGAAAAUAAUUAAAUAAUUAAACAUGCCAGCAACCGAACCCAAAUCUGCUUCUCAAAUCUGCUGCUGUUGUCUACUCUCUUUUUGCUGAGCUUCCCAACAAGCUGAGCUGAGCUUCAACUCCCCCAAAAUUCCUGAUCUAAAAUUGAAUGAGUAAAAAUAAGUAAACUUUUGAGACAAUUUGAAAUUGUAACGACCAUUCUGAAAGCCUGUUUAAGUUUGCUGGUUUCAUUUAAAAGGAACAUGUCCUCAAAGUUAUCAGCAUUGGCUAUGAUGCAGACAUACAGCCUGGGUUUACUGGUCAAAUGAACUCAUGUCAUGUAUGUUAGAAAACUUAUUAGGAAAACUCAUAACUCAGUAUAAUAGCUAAUUUUGUUUAAUGUCUCUUGGAGUUUUUGUAGAUGAUCUAAAUAUAAUUGUUAAGAACAGGUAAACUAAAUAAAUGUAAAAAAAUAAAAGUUUUUGGAAAAACUUUUUAACAAUAAUUAUAUGUAUAAUUAUAUGUAUAAUAAUUAUAUUAUGAUAUAUGUACUUAAAACAACUGAGGACAAUAGUUAACUGCUGUAAUGUCACAUGAAGUUUUUAAGAGUAAUUGUUAAAACUGGGUAAAAGUUUUAAGUACAAUAAUUAUGUUUUAUGGUCUGAAUACUUAAAAAACACCUUCCAAAAUCUUUUUGGAAGCUUAAAUUUUGUAACUUUACUAAGUUAAGUUAAAUAAUAACAGUUUAUUGGGUAUCUAGGUCAUUUCCACAUAAGAUAAAAUAUUAAAGGUUAACUACUAAGCAUAUAUUUCUCUGCCUUUGGUUUCUUAUAUCAAAGAAACUGAAAAGUGCUUAGGUUAUUGAUCAACAUGUUGUAUGUAUGUUGAGAAAUUUUCUAUGAGAAAACAUAUAUUUCUAAAAGGUCGGUAUACAAAGAAAGUAAAAUAUAUGUUUUCAGUAAAAAGAUAUAAAGAAUGGAAAUAUUUUUGUUUCUUGAGUUGAGAAAGAUAAAUUUGUCCUAAAGUGCUGGGACAAAUUCUGAAUGUAAAAAAGUAACCAAAGGUUUGUAAAAGUAAAGCCCUAAAGAGUUUUAUGUAUGGUCAAGUUGUCCAGGAUUAAAGUAAAUCCAAUUAAGUAAAUAAACUUAAGUAAAUCAUUUUAAAAAAAAUCAACUUAAGUAAAUAUGUCAAAAGUAAACUGGUACAAAAUUAAAACUUGGUUUCCUCUUUCUUAAAAGGAUAAUUUUCCUAAAUUUUUAAUCUGCUCUUUAUAAAAAGGUUAUAAAAAGGCUUUGUUUGACUAUUUUAACUCUGUUUCCCCUUGACUGUUUCUUUUAUCGCUUCAAAUAGAUACCUGAACAUGGUUUUACAAGUGAACUUUGUUUCCUAUCUGAACAAAUGUUUUAAAGUUUUUAAUAUUUUUGACAAGCUGCCCCCCCACACAAAUAUUCAAGUCUUAAAUAAAAGCUUUCUUUUGACCUGGAAGAGGAGGGAGAGUUUCUCCGGGUAUUUUCAGAGGGCCCCUGGGACUUCUCGGAGAAAUUUGCUCUCUUCCUAUAAGAAAAGAACGCUAAACUAGUAAGGCUUAUUUUGUAUGUUAAGUUACAUGAGAAUCAUUGUCAAAUAAAUAAUGAUAAACUUUCUUAAAUGGUAUUAUGUAAAUGAGUGUUAUUGAUAUAAAUACUUUAAAAAUUAUAUGAUCUGUUCUGAUUGUCAGUUAUAAUCCUGGUUAUUAUCUCAAAAUGUUAUAUAUCACAGACAUGGUCAAAUGCCUUUGUCAAUUACCAUUUUUGAAUGUUUUGUUAUUUAUGAACAGUGGCUAUUUUACUUUGAUGUUUUUGCAAAUAUAUUUCAUCUUCAGAGAAAUUCAUGGAAAGGGCUCUGACACUCUAGAAUACAGGUUUCCAGUAAAUGUUCAGAUUGUAAAACCAAACUGGGUAAAAAUUACAGAACUCCAACAGAGAAACUGAUGACCUCACAAACUGCUCACAGAAGAUUAAGAUCAAGAACCAAUUACAGAGGACAGAAUAAACUGAUAGGGAUGAUUAUAAUUUUUAUGACUUUCUGAUUGAGAUAUUGCUGAUUUUUUGAUGUUUUGCUUUUUUCAGAGUUAAAAUCUUUUUCUCUCUUCUCUUAAAGAACUAUGACUUACAACAAUUUAUAAACAAAAUUGAAGCCUUUGUUUUUUCCUCCUUAUCUGAGCCCCCCAAAACACAAAAACUUCUGAUAAAAAAACUUCUUAUUAAAUACCUGGUUACUUACUUACAUGAUACAGGCCCACCUUCAGGAGCCCGCCAGCAUCACUGCCUUAUUAAAAGACUGGUUCAAUGAGAGGAAACAACCUACGCCCCAUUUCAGCAGGAAGUAGCUAGAUUGGUCGCCGCCCCAAAUCCCUCAAGAUUGAGGGACGGACAUAAAAUAGGGGGGAGUUGAUAUCGACCCUGAUAUCAGUUUCCCCACACUAAACCCAGCAUAUAUGGGGUUAAAACCAAAACACUCAUUCCCUGCUUACUCUCUGGCUUCCUGGCUCCAGAAUCCACUAUGCUGCAUGGAGACAGACACCGUCAAGGACAAGCACCUGGACUAUCUCCUCCCCACAAAGAGAUACAGACUGGUGGGAAAGCUUCUGACCAGCAAGGUCAUGAGCUCCCUCCUCUCUGCAAGUGUCUCAAGGCCAAAGACAGGCUGGUGGGAAAGCUCCGACCAGCAAGGCCCUAUGCUCCCCCUCCCCUACCGAAAACCCCAAAUAAAAACCCUUCCUUUUAGCUUUUUCGGGGAGUUUGGGAUUUCAGUGUUAGCUGCCCUCUCUCCUUGCUCAGUGCUGUGCAAAAAAGAAAGUUCCUACUUUCUUCCACCACCCCUGGUGUCAGAGAUUGGCUUGCUGCAUGAUGGGUGAGUGAACUCACUUCAGGUUCGGUAACAUUUCUAAAUAUCAGACCAUCUACAAGGCUGAUUUGGUGGAUAAGGUGAAUCCACAUUUAUUCAACAAUUAGGGUGCUGUGUUAUAAAUGUUGUGUUUAAGCCAGGUAUGUAAGAACAAAUAAUUAUUUGGAACACGUUUUUUUAAUAGUGAAAGACAAAAAGAAGAAAGGAGGGGGCCCCCUUAAGAAUUGUAAAGAUUGAAAUGUUUUGAAUUACAGGACACUCUCAGGAUUAUUCAUAACAUAGUAAAGUAAUAAUUUUUAUUUUGA